This is a long non-coding RNA of Musca domestica (house fly), 321 nucleotides long. RefSeq lists it as uncharacterized. The transcript is spliced from 2 exons. Lineage: Eukaryota; Metazoa; Arthropoda; Insecta; Diptera; Muscidae. The record is from RefSeq and is a predicted model, not a curated record.
AAAUACAAAAAGUCUGUAAAAUAAAUGGUGAACCAGUGAAAUUAUUUACUGAUUUUAAUCAAAAUCAAUUCAAGAAUAGUCAUAGCUAACGUUGACGUUAAUAAAAUAUUUUUGUUAUUAAAAAUAUUUUACACUCGGGAUAUUGUGGUAAAACCAGGACAUUUUUUUUUAUCAGGAACAAGCAGUCCUCAGGUUGGAUUAUAUAUAUAUAUAUAUAUAUAUACACAUGUUGCAAACCAACUUCACCUGUGGAUGGUGAAACCACUUUAUCCCGGGAUUCACAAUAAAUGAGAAAGCUUCACUUAUCUAACUCAAAAACCA